This 621-nucleotide long non-coding RNA is filed under the name Sus scrofa (pig). RNAcentral describes it as "lncRNA (ENSSSCG00005007724.1)". The record is from RNAcentral. Lineage: Eukaryota; Metazoa; Chordata; Mammalia; Artiodactyla; Suidae.
GUGGCGGGUAGGGGGCUGGGUGGCGCGGGAGAGGGCGGCAGAAGGAGGGAGUUCGAAGAGAAUUACCGCCAGAGAGAGUGGCAGGAGCCCGCGGUUUCCUUGGAGACACGCUGACCAAUGGCAGCAGCGGAAGCUGUUUAUGGGGGCGGAGCGUCGCCAUGGCAGCAGUAGAAGCCUUCUGAGCGACUACUUAAUACCGGUCCCGGGGCCGCUGGCGUUCAGAGAGGCGCCGUCGGGCGUGGGGGGGACGACGAGGGUUGCUGGCAGGGUCCUCGAGCUGGGGGCAGAGAGCCGCGGGGAGUGGCAGGACCUUCUUCCAGAACCUUCCUUUGGCCCGAGCUGCGCUCUGAGCCAGACACCACAUUCGACUCGGAGGAGGCGACCCCCGGGGUCGUGGGAUGGAAGCGCGCUUCCGGGAGCCUGUGUAACUGGAGCCGCGGGAGUCAGCGGGCCGGAGAGCGCCACCCUCGGCUCAGCUCGUGGAUGUUGACCGCCCCCUCAGAGAGUCCCCGCAGAUAUGGCGGAGAGCUGGCUACGCCUCUCGGGAGCAGGGGCUGCGGAGGAAGCCGGGCCGGAGGGCGGCCUAGAGGAGCCCGAUGCCCUGGAUGACAGCCUGACCAG